UUCGAUUCAGUACCGAUUCUCACUAUCGGGACAGGACAGGGGACAGAAUGGUUAUACCGAAAUGGCCCUGCCCUACCCUAUCCUGAUCCGAUAAUGUAAAUCGGGAACGAC
This 111-nucleotide microRNA precursor is filed under the name Apis mellifera (honey bee). RNAcentral describes it as "microRNA ame-mir-3718b precursor". The stretch from base 13 to 104 matches the Rfam family "mir-3718 microRNA precursor family". The record is from miRBase by way of RNAcentral. Lineage: Eukaryota; Metazoa; Arthropoda; Insecta; Hymenoptera; Apidae.